Molecule: long non-coding RNA, 1326 nt
Organism: Salvia miltiorrhiza (redroot sage)
Lineage: Eukaryota; Viridiplantae; Streptophyta; Magnoliopsida; Lamiales; Lamiaceae
Exons: 3
Source: RefSeq, a predicted model, not a curated record
GAUCAAGAAGAGGCGACGUGGGAACUCGAGUCUAGCAUGAAGGAGAAGUACCCAAAAUUAUUUCCUGUGGUACAAAUUUCGGGACGAAAUUUCUUUUAAGGGGGAUAGUAUGUCAUACCCCGACUUUUAAUCCCUGAUUAAGGGCUUAAUUAUUAAUAAUUAGGGUUCGGCAUCCAUUAAUAAUAAAACUGGUUUGAUUUAUCUGAUGUGAUUUAAUCGUUAUAUAUGUGUUUUAAUGUGCUUAGUUAAAGAAAUUUUUAUAAAUGCAGUGCAUAAGUUUUAAUUGGUGAGUUAAGUGUAUUUAUAUGAGCAAGUUAUUAUGAUUUUUAUUUGAGGAUUAUAGCACUUGGAAUUUUAAUUAAGUUUCCAAAGCAAGUGUAGUUUAUUUUUACCGAGAAAUCAAAGAAUGUCGGUUUAUGGAAAUUUUUCCAAACAAAAUAUUUUCAAAUUAUUUUUCCUAUGAUGAGGAAUAUUAUAAUUGAGUGAGUGCACUAAUAUUAGUGCCAUAUUUAUUUUAAAUUUUGGUCACAAGAGUUUUGUGUUAUAGCAUUUCAUUAAUUAGUGAUUAGUCUUUCAUGAUUUUAAUACAUGGUUUAUUCCUACACCACAUACUACCUUACACACACAUGAUUAUUUUAAUUAAUUGAGCAUGUGUUUAAUUCCUAACCUUGCAUGAGAAGGGAACAAGUGGCCAAGUGGGCUUUUAAUAUUCAUUAACUACUUAGGAAACUUAGUGACCAAGUUUAGCAUUAAACAAAAGCAUUUCCUCUCUCUUCGUCCCCUCUCAUUUUCGUCCAUCUCUCUCUCCCUCUCUACUCUCACUAUUUUCUUUUCAAUCCAUCAUGGAAGAACACUCCAAAGCUUCUAAACACAUAGAUCCACCAUCACCAUUCCUAGAGCUAGCCUUCAAUCACCAAGAAUCAAGAGAAUGAUCAAGCUAGAGUUUCCAAACCCAAGUGGAUCAAAGAGUUCGCCAUUUUCUUAAAUAUUGAGGGUCCGGGCGACAGGAAGUGAAGCCGAAGAAGAAGCGACUCCACGCUAGCUUAAGAACGUUUGAGAUUGAGUAGCUGAUGGAAUGGAAUGGUGUUGAGCGGGUGUUCCUUUGAUCAUUUCAAGAAAUGUAACCUUGAGUAUACAUCUUCAUAUGUAUAUCUCACACGUUUUCCGCUGCAAAACACUUUGAUUAGGAUAACUCUAUGUUAUGAAGUUGUGACACGUGAUAUUGGGUAACCCACCUUAAUCAGUUCUCCUUUAUGUGUAUGUGUUAUAAGUAUCCAAAUGAUCAUAUAUGAUCCUAACAUUUUAUCUAUAAGUGACAUUUCCAUA